UGGGGAAUAUUGCACAAUGGGGGAAACCCUGAUGCAGCGACGCCGCGUGGAGGAAGAAGGUCUUCGGAUUGUAAACUCCUGUUGUUGAGGAAGAUAAUGACGGUACUCAACAAGGAAGUGACGGCUAACUACGUGCCAGCAGCCGCGGUAAAACGUAGGUCACAAGCGUUGUCCGGAAUUACUGGGUGUAAAGGGAGCGCAGGCGGGAAGACAAGUUGGAAGUGAAAUCUAUGGGCUCAACCCAUAAACUGCUUUCAAAACUGUUUUUCUUGAGUAGUGCAGAGGUAGGCGGAAUUCCCGGUGUAGCGGUGGAAUGCGUAGAUAUCGGGAGGAACACCAGUGGCGAAGGCGACCUACUGGGCACCAACUGACGCUGAGGCUCGAAAGUGUGGGUAGCAAACAGG
Molecule: ribosomal RNA, 404 nt
Filed under: uncultured Faecalibacterium sp.
Lineage: Bacteria; Bacillati; Bacillota; Clostridia; Eubacteriales; Oscillospiraceae
Description: bacterial SSU rRNA
Rfam family: Bacterial small subunit ribosomal RNA
Source: RNAcentral